AGCGGCGGAUGGGUGAGUAACACGUGGGGAACCUGCCCCUAAGUCUGGGAUACCAUUUGGAAACAGGUGCUAAUACCGGAUAAUAAAGCAGAUCGCAUGAUCAGCUUUUGAAAGGCGGCGUAAGCUGUCGCUAAGGGAUGGCCCCGCGGUGCAUUAGCUAGUUGGUAAGGUAACGGCUUACCAAGGCGACGAUGCAUAGCCGAGUUGAGAGACUGAUCGGCCACAUUGGGACUGAGACACGGCCCAAACUCCUACGGGAGGCAGCAAUAGGGAAUCUUCCACAAUGGACGCAAGUCUGAUGGAGCAACGCCGCGUGAGUGAAGAAGGUUUUCGGAUCGUAAAGCUCUGUUGUUGGUGAAGAAGGAUAGAGGUAGUAACUGGCCUUUAUUUGACGGUAAUCAACCAGAAAGUCACGGCUAACUACGUGCCAGCAGCCGCGGUAAUACGUAGGUGGCAAGCGUUGUCCGGAUUUAUUGGGCGUAAAGCGAGCGCAGGCGGAAAAAUAAGUCUAAUGUGAAAGCCCUCGGCUUAACCGAGGAACUGCAUCGGAAACUGUUUUUCUUGAGUGCAGAAGAGGAGAGUGGAACUCCAUGUGUAGCGGUGGAAUGCGUAGAUAUAUGGAAGAACACCAGUGGCGAAGGCGGCUCUCUGGUCUGCAACUGACGCCGAGGCUCGAAAGCAUGGGUAGCGAACAGGAUUAGAUACCCUGGUAGUCCAUGCCGUAAACGAUGAGUGCUAAGUGU
RNAcentral lists this ribosomal RNA (743 nucleotides) under uncultured bacterium. Its description in RNAcentral is "bacterial SSU rRNA". It matches the Rfam family "Bacterial small subunit ribosomal RNA", at positions 94 to 823 of the family's 1533-position model. The record is from RNAcentral.